RNAcentral lists this small RNA (96 nucleotides) under Lutibaculum baratangense AMV1. Its description in RNAcentral is "Phyllobacteriaceae bacterium AMV1 Alphaproteobacterial sRNA ar45". It matches the Rfam family "Alphaproteobacterial sRNA ar45". The record is from Rfam by way of RNAcentral. Lineage: Bacteria; Pseudomonadati; Pseudomonadota; Alphaproteobacteria; Hyphomicrobiales; Tepidamorphaceae.
GCCCAUCAAGCGCACGUGCCUGUGGUCGCCGGGCAGCCCUCACCCAACGGAUCGGUCGAGGGACGGCGGCUUAAAGCAACGACGGUUCGGGCUUCC